GACUUUUUUCAGAAAAUGAUUUAAAACACAACCCGCCGUCCGCCGGCGGCAGCGGUGGAGCAAUACUCGUCAUUUAUCAUCACAAUUUAAACACCUUCGCACUAUCCACACAUCCCUUUCAGUUCUGGAGUUUGGUUCUUCCACUUUCAAUCAUCAAAAUUUGCUCAUCCUUUCUUCCUGGUAAGUGCUACCUAAUCAACCACAAUUUUCUAUUCCAUUUCUUAACACUACCUGUCCAUAAUUUUUUGCUCUAUUUAAAUUCAAACCUUUUUUUCCUAAUGAAUUUGUGAACCACGAACGUCCAAUGAAUUAGCCAGUUGAAUUAGGUCAACCGCAUUAGGUGGUGACCAUUGAUAUUCGAAGCGUGCGAGCUUGACAAUGGAGAUUGUGAACGUAGCCAUGGUGUUUCAGAUAAUUUUCUAUAUUUGAGAUGUUGCCUGUGCAUUUGUUAUUUAAUGUGGAUUUCGAGUCAAAUGAUAAACCAAUUGCAUCAAUGUGGGAAUUUGACUGAGCUCUGACUGGCUUCUUCUUGUUUAUUGUCUCCCUUCUUUUGCUCAGUGGAUUCUAGAAAAGCCCGAGAGCAUUAAAUUAUUACAUUGAGAUUUCUACCUAAUAUACAUAUUUUUAAUCGAACAUUGAUCAGAGCUAUGAACAGCGCCUUAUCAAUUCACUUUUCAUCGUUUAUUGUUAACCCGUGCUCGGUACUUUUUUUUCCCCCCUUUUGAUGGGGAAUUAGCAGUUUCAUUGGAUUUCGGUCUGAUCAAACGUUGUUUUGACUGCUUGGCAUCGUUGUCUUGAUGCAGUAAGUAGAUUCUUUGGUAUAUUUAGUGUUUAAAGAAAUUAUUGAUAAAUUCUAAAAGAGAAUAGAAUUUCAGGCAAAGCGGAAUCUGAUUACGGCUAGAAUUAUUAGCAUAAGAAAAGCUUGAUCGGUUUUUUUUUUUCGAUUGGUUUAGUCAAUCCUGGACAGAUGGAAUAAGACAUUGCUUUCGAUCUUCAUCGUGUUAAUGCAUAGCCAAAAGUCACAAAUCUUGACUGGCUUUGUGAAGUAAAUUCAAAGGAGACAUACAAGGUGUUUCAUUUACACAUUAGAAAUAGGCUAAUAUCCCAGGCUUCUUCUUUGGUAUAACCACUGGAUUUAUUUUUUCUUUUAUCUCGCUUCUGCCUAGCUUGGGUGCUGAAUUCAUCAGCAAUGAUUUGCUCCAUUCCCCAAAUAUCUCUGCAGUGUAAGAAUGAUGGCGAGACAACGAGUUAGGAUUCCGCCUUGAUUUUUCAAAAUCGUUAGUUUCUUGUCUGUCUCCUUUCUGCUUAUCAAGAUCGAAAAGCUUGAAAUUUUGACCAAGUGGUAAGUCAAUAAUGUGCCUGGUUCAAGUGAUGAUUCUGUCUACAUACUAAACAAGCGCAUACUAGCCACAGACAAAUAAAAGCAUAUAUCAGCCAUAGGGUCCCUUAGCUCAUAUUCUAUUGUCCUCCAUUGUAUUUCUUUUCAUCAUCCCUGUCCCAAUAACGAAACUACCACAAGUCAUCACUUUCUUUUGCCAUCCCCCCGUACCGUCCAGAAGUUAAUUUAUUGUGCCUGGGACCCCAUCUUUAUGCUUAUCACUUAUAAAGCUGAAUUUGAAUUUUUAACUCAAAAUCUGAUGUGUCUUGUGUGAUAAUGGUUGCAGCAACGUAUUCAUUUUGGAUUAGAAUUCUCAUGUGUAAUACUCCAUACUAGAUUGCAGGAUAUAUUAUAGUCCUAGCUGAGAAUAUACUUUGGACAGUGUAGAUAUAGUUCCUCAAGACAUUUUUGUGGCGGAAGCGCGAGUAAAUAAGAUUACUGCAGAAAACAUUCUGGUUUGUCUAUGAAUAAUUUUUAUACACUACUUAUUUUCUGCUUGAUGUACAACUUGCAGAACCACACACAGAAGAGACAAGUAUAAAUGCUAGAUAGAAGUUACCGUGAUCUAAUGGUAAUAAGGGAAAAGGCAAAUAAAGCAGAUGAAUUGAAACUACCUCAUGCUCGAAUUUUAUUGCCGGACAGGAGUUAAAGAGAUCCUGUUUUUCUCUUGUAUGUAUGCUAACUAAACUAGGCUUUCUUUGAAAUAGUAUUGGUGUACCUAAAACAGAUGAAAUCGAAACAAAAAUUUGUCUUAGAAUCAUGAUAAAUUGCAUGUAAUCAUGUAUUUGACCUCUGAUACUAAAAUGAUAAUCUAGUUUGACAUGUAUUUAGCCCUUGGGUUGUUUCUAUUUGGACAUGAAAACCUUGUGACUGCUAGAGACUGGUAAGGAAAAUUAGUUUUGACAUCAAUAUUUGUGCAUAUUUCGUAAAUGUUCUAAAUCACGAAAUUCUGUUGCCCCUACCAAGUUAAAAAGACAAAAGAAGAUUCGGAGGACAGAACAAGGAGGCGACGAAAGGAUUGCCUUUAAGUUCCUUUCAUUGGGGCAUUGGACGGAAGGGUGUUGGGGAGAGGGGUUCUCAGAGUGGAGUUGCUGUUUGUGUUGUUCAUUUAACAUCAACUGCUUUAAAAGGAAACUUAUAUUUUACAUUCAUAGAGUAACAAAAUUUAAGCACCCCUAUCUUACAUUAGGCAAUAUGCUGAAAUCUGAGUCCCCUGAAGAGCUUCUUAUGAACUCUUCCCAUUGGUACAUAGUAAAAAACGCAGAACAGCAGACACUGACCCAUGACUAUGGUUCCCAUCAGAUGUUAACAUUGACUGGGAGAUCAAUGAGGAGAACCACAUCAAGUAGUUUGGACAGACAACCCCAUGCUAUACAAAUACAGGUUAGGCUUCCAUAUAGCAGCUAAAAUUGUAUCAACAAAUACCUAGGGAAUAAAUCAACAUCUAGCUAGCCAGUUAAAAUCGUGCUCUCUUGGUUGUAAAAAGAAUAAAAUUGAUCGCUUAUGGGAGGAAACAUCUUACUCUCGUCUUCAUCCAUCAUCCACAACGAGACAGGGCAAUAAUCCCGCACAGGAGAAGCCAUUGUUUGACUGGAGAAGUUGCAGCCUCCUUCGCCGUAACCGUCAUACACAGGUUGAAUAGCAUCACUGUCAGAAAACUCAAUAUCUUUCCAUAUUUCGUCCAUGGAAUACACCUUCUGCAACCUUUCUUCCUCUGCUUGACCAGUCUUGUUUCCCUUGGCAGUGAGCAUUUCAAGACCUCCAGUGUCAUAAAAGCUUCGCUCCUUUGUCUCAGUGAUUGGCCCAGAUUCCAUACUUGGGCUGUUACCGUUGGAUAUUGAGGAGGAACAGUUGGAGAAUGAUGGUGAGGAUGAUGAUGAUGAUGAUGAGGGAGAUAUGGCAGCCUUUUUCCUCUCUUGAGCCUUCUUCCUCAUAUGGGUUCUCCAGUAAUUCUUGAUCUCGUUAUCAGUCCUCCCAGGUAAUUUACGGGCAAUCCUUGACCAUCUGCGAAUGAUUUAUCCAUGUGUUACAUUGAAAUAACUGGGAUGACAACCCAAUAACAAAAAAUAGAAUCCAAAUAGAAGUAAGAUUAUGUCGUUAUGUUGUCAAAUAACAUUAAAUUAACCAAUAAUCGCCAACCUAUUUCCCCACUUGGAGUGAAGCUCAAGGACAAGGCGCUCUUCAUGAGGAGUCAUCUUGCCUCGUUUCAGACCAGGGUGCAGGUAAUUAACCCAACGUAACCUGCAACUUUUACCUGUUCUUUUCAAACCUACAACAAAGUACGUGGUUAAACUUUGCUCCUUGCAAUUACCAUGCCAUGCCCAAAAUAAGCAUACCUAUUUUAUUUGUCUCCCUCCACCCAAACCUGAAACCUUAGAGAUGAAAUCCCAUCGGCGAUCACCGUACACGUUCACACAUAAAACCAGUUGGACAUCUUCUUGUUCUGUCCAAGGGCCCUUUCUGAUUUCCUCUUGCACCAUUUCCAGAGUUCCGUUUCCUUUUCUGCCUUCACUUCUUUUGAUUAACUCCUUGAGUUGCUUGCCUGCUCACUGGUACAAGGAACUUGUGUGCACGCUAGUGAUAUUUAUACUGGCCACUUUUCCUUGUAGGCAAGCUACGUGAUUUAUUUUUAAUUCUGUGAUUCCAUCCUCACCGUCCGUGCUGUGGCUUGCGUAUGCUGAUUAGGUGAUCGCGUUGAUGGGAACGCAUUGCAUAUGAUGAAAGCCAUUAUCAACAAUUUCUAGAUAAGAAGUUGAUAUGCUGAUGUGACGUUCAUAACUUGCAGUCCACAUUUCUCAGUAGGAUUGCUCGGUUUCUGUACAACUUCCUGCAAAAUCUAUAUGUGCACUAUAAAUUCACCAAAAGUUGAACCAAAGAAUUGCACUUUUUCUUUCCUUUCUUGUUUUCUAAAGUGAAAUUUACAUAAACUUCGAGAUUGUCUUUGUUCUUUUG
Molecule: long non-coding RNA, 4330 nt
Filed under: Coffea arabica (coffee)
Lineage: Eukaryota; Viridiplantae; Streptophyta; Magnoliopsida; Gentianales; Rubiaceae
Description: long non-coding RNA (CARA_LNC000332)
Source: RNAcentral